RNAcentral lists this unclassified non-coding RNA (57 nucleotides) under unidentified. RNAcentral describes it as "LINKERA (GLY4SER)3ALAGLYSERALA". The record is from RNAcentral.
GGUGGAGGCGGUUCAGGCGGAGGUGGCUCUGGCGGUGGCGGAUCGGCCGGUUCGGCC